Long non-coding RNA from Oncorhynchus nerka (sockeye salmon), 1111 nucleotides. RefSeq lists it as uncharacterized. The transcript has 3 exons. The record is from RefSeq and is a predicted model, not a curated record. NCBI's taxonomy places the organism in Eukaryota, Metazoa, Chordata, Actinopteri, Salmoniformes, Salmonidae.
AUGACACUGGCCGUCGCCAUUUUGAAUUUGAAAAAGAGGUGUCAGGAGACAAAGAAAAAAGAUGUGGAGGAGAACAUCUAUAUUGAGAUGCAUGAGGAUUUACAGACCAAACGGUCACAGGAGGAGACCAAGACCUACCAAGACACCUCCCGUUACGAUCUAUUGCACCCGCUUCAAGCUCGGAUAAAGCGAAGACUACGCAAUUAUUUACCAUAUUCACUGAUCAUAUUUACCAAUCAAUUAUGGUUUAUUGAGGAGAUUAUGGUAUAGUAUUUUGAGGUAUAUAUUUCUUCAUACAAAUAGAUAAUAGUAGAGACUACAGGAGAGAAACAGUGCUAUUUUUUUUAACCUGUAUUUUGAUAUUGUAUCGUUCCCUUAUUUACAUUACUUUAGUAUCGUACUGGACCACUAGGUGGAAGCAUUACCGUAUGAUAAAGAAACAGUGUUCAUCUGUGACAAUUGCUGUGAAGAAACAUCUCAGGAUUACUGUAAUUACAUCAAUAGUUGUUUCCAAACAUAUGGACACACUUGGACAACUGUAAAUUAUUCCAUUUCUAAUUUUCAAACCAAGCUGUUCUGGCCAUUAUUGUCAAAUGUAUGUAUUUCGUCUUCAAAAUGAACGUCGUCUAUUCUAAUGAUCGUCGUUACAUAGUUCAAAAUGUUUAAGUCAGCAGUCUAGUUUCAUUUGAAGUGAUGUUAGAAUGAAGAAUGUAAAUACAUGUAAAUAUUCUUACUAAAAGUACUCAAAGUGUCAAACAGACUACAUAUGCGUACAUAUCGUUUGUAUAUUUGUACAGUGUGAAUUGCAAUGUCAGCUUGGUGAAUUGUUAUUAUUUUUUAAACUUCAUCUUUGCCGAUUUUAUCAUUCAUGCCAUUGCUGUCGGUAAUCCUGAAGAAAACUAUUCAAAGCAGUGUAGCAACAGAUUUUAUUGUGGAAUUUAGUAAAUAAGUACAAGGACUUGCAAAAUUUAAAAAAUACGUUUUGAGAAGACAGCAAUAAUCAAUGGUUGUAUAGCUAAUUACAAUUGGAGGGUAAUUUUUCAUUAAAUAACUAUGUAAAUAAUUAGUAGCUUAACUAUUUACACAUCAAUCGUCAUAAUAAAAGGCAAUU